GAUGAACGCUAGCGAUAGGCCUAACACAUGCAAGUCGAGGGGCAUCACAUGAAGUAGCAAUACGGAUGGUGGCGACCGGCGCACGGGUGAGUAACACGUAUGCAACCUGCCUUCAACAAGGGGAUAACCCGUUGAAAGACGGACUAAUACCCUAUAACACAGGGGUCCCGCAUGGGGAUAUUUGUUAAAGGACAACCGGUUGAAGAUGGGCAUGCGUUCCAUUAGCUAGUUGGCGGGGUAAGGGCCCACCAAGGCAACGAUGGAUAGGGGAACUGAGAGGUUUAUCCCCCACACUGGUACUGAGACACGGACCAGACUCCUACGGGAGGCAGCAGUGAGGAAUAUUGGUCAAUGGACGCAAGUCUGAACCAGCCACGUCGCGUGAAGGAAGACGGCCCUACGGGUUGUAAACUUCUUUUGCAAGGGAAUAAAGUGGGCCACGUGUGGCCUUUUGCAAGUACCUUGCGAAUAAGGAUCGGCUAACUCCGUGCCAGCAGCCGCGGUAAAUACGC
RNAcentral lists this ribosomal RNA (512 nucleotides) under uncultured bacterium. Its description in RNAcentral is "bacterial SSU rRNA". It matches the Rfam family "Bacterial small subunit ribosomal RNA", at positions 28 to 528 of the family's 1533-position model. The record is from RNAcentral.